Molecule: ribosomal RNA, 253 nt
Filed under: uncultured bacterium
Lineage: Bacteria
Description: partial 16S ribosomal RNA
Rfam family: Bacterial small subunit ribosomal RNA
Source: RNAcentral
UACGGAGGGUGCAAGCGUUGUCCGGAAUCACUGGGCGUAAAGAGCUCGUAGGCGGCCUGUUGCGUCCGCUGUGAAAUCCCGGGGCUUAACCCCGGGCUUGCAGUGGAUACGGGCAGGCUGGAGGCAGGCAGGGGAGAACGGAAUUCCCGGUGUAGCGGUGAAAUGCGCAGAUAUCGGGAGGAACACCGGUGGCGAAGGCGGUUCUCUGGGCCUGUACUGACGCUGAGGAGCGAAAGCGUGGGGAGCGAACAGG